AUUAUCUCGACAUUGUGUGGCGUUCUACUUAGGAUCUCCUGCAGCUUAUGAUAAGAGAAGCUUCCCCAUAUUUCCUUUCUCGCCAGCUCUCUCAUCACUAACGCUGGUUAUAAGACCAGGCUUGGAUUUAUCUUUCGGGUUUUUCGGUUUUGGACGCCAGCUCCAUGUUUCAGGUUAUUCUUUACCCGUCGAGCCAAACUCAAUGCCAAACUCCGACGCAUUUGUUGUUUCUGCUGCCGCUGCAUUCCGAAGUCGAGCAGGUACCUGUCUUUCUCCCUCCCUCGCCAUCUCUCUCGCUCUCUAUCGCAUCUGUGUGAGUGCGAUCGCUGCUCGCUACCUGCGAACGCAAGAGCAGCAACAACACAAUCCCGGUUUCCAGGAAAAUAUUAACGAUAACUCCAAAAAAAGCAGAAACUCCGUUGCCGCACCACACACAGAAACUCAGAAAACAGAUUGGGAUGCACAAAUCCAGCGGAUGGCACAACAAUAGCGAACUGGCAUUGUUAUUGAUACUAGGAAAGCCAUGCACUUUCCAUCUAUCCCUCUCGGUUGCAUUUGCCCACUAAAAAAGGAAAACGCCGCCGUCUUCUGUGCCUUCUAAAAAAAUAAAAGAAAAGGGACAAGGAUCGAAAUCGAGAAAGGGACCUAGGACCUGGGAAAAUCUGAGUUUCUACCUGACCCCAAAACGCUCACACCCGCACCAUCAAACAUGCACUGAUAUCAGCAUCCUGUAUUUGAAGAGGCAUUGCUACACUGAGAAAAUAGCACACUUCAUAAAGAUAAUGAUUCAAGUAGCAGUUA
Drosophila melanogaster (fruit fly) is the source of this 801-nucleotide non-coding RNA. Lineage: Eukaryota; Metazoa; Arthropoda; Insecta; Diptera; Drosophilidae. The record is from Ensembl.